GGUUAAGCGACUAAGCGUACACGGUGGAUGCCCUGGCAGUCAGAGGCGAUGAAGGACGUGCUAAUCUGCGAAAAGCGCCGGCGAGGUGAUAUGAACCCUUGACCCGGCGAUGUCCGAAUGGGGAAACCCAGUG
Molecule: ribosomal RNA, 133 nt
Filed under: Enterobacter cloacae
Lineage: Bacteria; Pseudomonadati; Pseudomonadota; Gammaproteobacteria; Enterobacterales; Enterobacteriaceae
Also listed under: 3 other names
Description: partial 23S ribosomal RNA
Rfam family: Bacterial large subunit ribosomal RNA
Source: RNAcentral